RNAcentral lists this ribosomal RNA (497 nucleotides) under uncultured bacterium. RNAcentral's name for it is "partial 16S ribosomal RNA". It matches the Rfam family "Bacterial small subunit ribosomal RNA", at positions 29 to 507 of the family's 1533-position model. The record is from RNAcentral.
AAUGAACGCUGGCGGCAUGCCUAACACAUGCAAGUCGAACGAAAGCACAGGAAGCUUUCGCCCCUGCUGGUGGCGGGGGACGGAUGGGUCACGCAUGGAUAACAUACCUCUCAGACUGGGGUGACAACGGGGAACAAGAUCUACUACCGGAUGAUAUUUUGCACCGCAUGGUUCAAGCGUUAAAUACGCUCUUGCUGUCUCUUAUAGCUGGAUCCGCGCUGCAUUAGCUAGUUGGUAAGGUAACGGCUCACCAAGGCUACGAUGCAUAGCCGACCUGAGAGGGUGAUCGGCCACACUGGAACUGAGACACGGUCCAGACUCCUACGGGAGGCAGCAGUAGGGAAUCUUGCGCAAUGGGCGAAAGCCUGACGCAGCAACGCCGCGUGAGUGAUGAAGGUCUUCGGGUCGUAAAACUCUGUUAUUAGGGAAGAACAUAAGUGUAUUUAACCCUGGAUAUCUUGACGGUACCUAAGCAAAAAGCCACGGCUAACUUCGUG